UCUGGUAUGAAAGGUUUGACGAGAUAUUAACUGUUUCAUAAUAAUUUAUAAUAGAAUUUUAUUUUUUAGUCAAAAAGCUAAAAUAUAUUUAAAAGACGAGAAGACCCUAUAAAUCUUUAUAUUUAGAUUAUUAUAAUUUUAUAGAUUUUUUUUAUUAUAAUAAUCAAUGAUAUUUUAUUGGGGUGAUAUUAAAAUUUAAUAAACUUUUAAUUGUUAAAAUCAUUAAUUUAUGAAUAAUUGAUCCGUUAUUAGCGAUUAAAAAAAUAAGUUACCUUAGGGAUAACAGCGA
RNAcentral lists this ribosomal RNA (289 nucleotides) under Calliphora vicina (urban bluebottle blowfly). RNAcentral describes it as "partial 16S ribosomal RNA". Lineage: Eukaryota; Metazoa; Arthropoda; Insecta; Diptera; Calliphoridae. The record is from RNAcentral.